Gossypium arboreum is the source of this 681-nucleotide long non-coding RNA. RefSeq lists it as uncharacterized. The transcript has 2 exons. Lineage: Eukaryota; Viridiplantae; Streptophyta; Magnoliopsida; Malvales; Malvaceae. The record is from RefSeq and is a predicted model, not a curated record.
UCCCGAACCGCCCCGAAUGCAUGUAUUGGACCUCGUAAGCUCGCAUAAGGGACAAAUUGCAUGUGAAAAGAAAAGUUUUUAAUUAUUUGAGAUUUCAUGGCCCUGUUUAGUAUGGAAAUGUUAGUAAAAGUCAGGUAGCACCUCGAACCCCGUCCCGGCGUCGGAUGCGGGCGAGGGGUGUUACAUUUAGUGGUAUCAGAGCAUGGUUUAGUCGGUUCUCGGACUAACCUAGCGUAAGAGAGUCUAGCUAUACAUGCCAUAGUAUUACUCGUGAUAGUGUGAUAUCUCUCGGCCCUAACAAAACUGUUGAUUAAGACAGGAAUGAGUUCGAACCGAGCAAAUCUUGAUAGAGAUAAGAGUAAAGUUGAGAUUAUUGAAUCAUGCUUGUGACAUGCUGAAAAUGGGAAAGAGUUCCAGGUUAGCUCGGGUUGGAGGCCGUCGGAGAUAUUAUCACCCUAUCGAGUUAACGUUAUCGGAGUAAGUAAACUCAAGUGAUUCGAGUCUAUGGCAUGUAUAGGGUUUUAAUGUGAGUAUGUAAUAUUAUGAUUUAGCCAAAGGCAUUGGCUUGUUAUUAAGGUAGUAUUAGUCAUGUAAAUUGGCCUAUGUCGGCUAAUGACGUUAUGGGCCCAUAUGAUUAUUCUUAUGCAUUUAUGUUAUUAUUUCUUGUGAUGUGGCUUACAA